This 253-nucleotide ribosomal RNA is filed under the name uncultured bacterium. RNAcentral describes it as "partial 16S ribosomal RNA". It matches the Rfam family "Bacterial small subunit ribosomal RNA", at positions 524 to 776 of the family's 1533-position model. The record is from RNAcentral.
GACGAGCCUCACAAACGUUAUUCGGAAUUACUGGGCUUAAAGGGUGCGUAGGCGGUGCGGAAAGUUGGGUGUGAAAUCCCUCGGCUCAACCGAGGAACGGCGCUCAAAACUACCGUACUUGAGGGAGAUAGAGGAGUGCGGAACUUAGGGUGGAGCGGUGAAAUGCGUUGAUAUCCUAGGGAACACCGGUGGCGAAAGCGGCACUCUGGAUCUCUUCUGACGCUGAGGCACGAAAGCUAGGGUAGCAAACGGG